RNAcentral lists this long non-coding RNA (500 nucleotides) under Mytilus galloprovincialis (Mediterranean mussel). Lineage: Eukaryota; Metazoa; Mollusca; Bivalvia; Mytilida; Mytilidae. The record is from RNAcentral.
CAAAAUAACAAUGAACAUGAGCUCUUUAAACCUACUGAUAUUAAUAAAGAAAAACAUACAUGUAAUAACAUCGGAUACACAUACAACACAUACAUACAGACAGACAGCACACACACACAUAUAUAUUUAUAUAUAAAUUAAUACAUAGAUAGCACAUGCAGAAUAAAAGCUAAACAAGAUAUAUUUUAAAACAAAUGUCAAAUAUCAGCACAUAGUAGCACAAAGUAUUUGUAUAGGAGUAGCACAUGCAAAAUUAAACACUAUAAGUACAAACAAAAGACUGCAUGCAGCUUUAGCAAAGGUAAUGCAUAAGCAAAAGAAAUAAAUAGCUAAAUAAAAAUUAAAAAUAACAAAAAAUGCGAAAAGAUAAAAUAUUAAAAAAAACCAGCAGGCUUCCAGAUCGAGUUAUGGGGCAGCAAGUAAUUACAUUACUAGUAUAUACUAGAACCGCAUGUACAUUUUUCUGAAAAACACCAGAGAUAAAAUUUUUGAAUUGGCCG